GAUCUAGAGUGGAAACUUCUUUCUUGGGCAUGGUUGACCUGCAUAUUCUUUAUACCAGAAAUGAUUGUAAAGUCAACAACAAAUAAUUUGAAGGUGGAAAGUUCCUUUGGGAAGUUUCUGUAUCGUGAACUUAGUGCUGUUGCCGGGGCUGUCACCAUCACUUGUCUCAUGGUUGCCAAUCUUGUUGGUUUUGUCAUUGGAUCAUCGGGGAUCAAUUGGUUGCUCUCUAAAUUUCUCCAGAAAGAAGGACUACCUACUCUUGGUGGCAUGUUUAUUACGUUUUACGUUGG
This 290-nucleotide unclassified non-coding RNA is filed under the name Hevea brasiliensis (rubber tree). The record is from RNAcentral. Lineage: Eukaryota; Viridiplantae; Streptophyta; Magnoliopsida; Malpighiales; Euphorbiaceae.